CAGCAGCCACGGGAAUACGAGGGGUGCAAGCGUUAUUCGGAUUGAUUGGGUGUAAAGGGUGUGCAGACGGCUUAUUAAGUCACUUGUUAAAUUCUUCGGCCUAACUGAAGGUCUGCAAGUGAUACUGAUGAGCUAGAGUGCAGAAGAGGAGAGUGGAAUUCCACGUGUAGCGGUGAAAUGCGUAGAGAUGUGGAGGAACACCAGUGGCGAAGGCGACUCUCUGGUCUGUAACUGACGCUGAGGAGCGAAAGCGUGGGGAGCGAACAGGAUUAGAUACCCGAGUAGUCCCUGUCUCUUAUAC
Molecule: ribosomal RNA, 301 nt
Filed under: uncultured bacterium
Lineage: Bacteria
Description: partial 16S ribosomal RNA
Rfam family: Bacterial small subunit ribosomal RNA
Source: RNAcentral